Molecule: long non-coding RNA, 331 nt
Filed under: Fukomys damarensis (Damara mole-rat)
Lineage: Eukaryota; Metazoa; Chordata; Mammalia; Rodentia; Bathyergidae
Description: lncRNA (ENSFDAG00000027752.1)
Source: RNAcentral
AAUUAAAUAAUCAAAUAAUAAUAUUCUUGGCAGGAGCAUGGAGUCAUGGUGAGCAUACCUGUUGUGGUGUGGAUAUUGAAUGUUUCCCAGACGCCCAUGUGUUCAAGGCUCAGUCCCAGCUUCUCAAAAAAAUGCAGUGGAACUGGAUGUGGAAAUAUUGUUCUGGACUGAAGAAGUCUGAUUACAAUGGAGACUAAACCAAUUUGGAGAAAGUGGAAAUUUUCAUCCUUUCACAGUUUCUAGGUAUCUUCAGACAGAAUUAUCAACUGAAAUUUUAUAUUUAAAUGUUUGUAAAUAUAGCCAAGUAUGCAAAAUCUACCUUUGCUGCCCC